AGGGUUGUAGCUCAAUGGUGGAGCCAUCUGCUUUGCAUGCAGAAGGUCCCAAGUUUAAUCCCUGGCAUCUCCA
Podarcis lilfordi (Lilford's wall lizard) is the source of this 73-nucleotide non-coding RNA. The record is from the annotation of a GenBank genome assembly. NCBI's taxonomy places the organism in Eukaryota, Metazoa, Chordata, Lepidosauria, Squamata, Lacertidae.